This 492-nucleotide ribosomal RNA is filed under the name uncultured bacterium. RNAcentral's name for it is "partial 16S ribosomal RNA". It matches the Rfam family "Bacterial small subunit ribosomal RNA", at positions 29 to 507 of the family's 1533-position model. The record is from RNAcentral.
AGUGAACGCUGGCGGUAGGCCUAACACAUGCAAGUCGAACGGCAGCACAGUAAGAGCUUGCUCUUACGGGUGGCGAGUGGCGGACGGGUGAGGAAUACAUCGGAAUCUACUUUUUCGUGGGGGAUAACGUAGGGAAACUUACGCUAAUACCGCAUACGACCUACGGGUGAAAGCAGGGGAUCUUCGGACCUUGCGCGAUUGAAUGAGCCGAUGUCGGAUUAGCUAGUUGGCGGGGUAAAGGCCCACCAAGGCGACGAUCCGUAGCUGGUCUGAGAGGAUGAUCAGCCACACUGGAACUGAGACACGGUCCAGACUCCUACGGGAGGCAGCAGUGGGGAAUAUUGGACAAUGGGCGCAAUCCUGAUCCAGCCAUACCGCGUGGGUGAAGAAGGCCUUCGGGUUGUAAAGCCCUUUUGUUGGGGAAGAAAAGCAGCAGGUUAAUACCCCGCUGUUCUGACGGUACCCAAAGAAUAAGCACCGGCUAACUUCGUG